ACGGGAGGCAGCAGUGGGGAAUAUUGCACAAUGGGGGAAACCCUGAUGCAGCGACGCCGUGUGAGUGAAGAAGUAUUUCGGUAUGUAAAGCUCUAUCAGCAGGGAAGAAAAUGACGGUACCUGACUAAGAAGCCCCGGCUAACUACGUGCCAACAGCCGCGGUAAUACGUAGGGGGCAAGCGUUAUCCGGAUUUACUGGGUGUAAAGGGAGCGUAGGCGGCGAUGCAAGUCUGAUGUGAAAGCCCGGGGCUCAGCCCCGGCACUGCAUUGGAAACUGUGUUGCUAGAGUGCAGGAGAGGUAAGUGGAAUUCCUAGUGUAGCGGUGAAAUGCGUAGAUAUUAGGAGGAACACCAGUGGCGAAGGCGGCUUACUGGACUGUAACUGACGUUGAGGCUCGAAAGUGUGGGUAGCAAACAGGAUUAGAUACCCUGGUA
Molecule: ribosomal RNA, 434 nt
Filed under: uncultured Lachnospiraceae bacterium
Lineage: Bacteria; Bacillati; Bacillota; Clostridia; Lachnospirales; Lachnospiraceae
Description: partial 16S ribosomal RNA
Rfam family: Bacterial small subunit ribosomal RNA
Source: RNAcentral